AAUAGAUACCCGGGUAGUCCACGCCGUAAACGAUGAGUGCUAGGUGUUGGGGGACUCCAAUCCUCAGUGCCGCAGCUAACGCACUAAGCACUCCGCCUGGGGAGUACGGCCGCAAGGCUGAAACUCAAAGGGAAUUGACGGGGACCCGCACAAGCGGUGGAGCAUGUGGUUUAAUUCGAAGCAACGCGAAGAACCUUACCAGGGCUUGACAUCCCGCUGUCCCUCCUAGAGAUAGGAGCUCUCUUCGGAGCAGCGGUGACAGGUGGUGCAUGGUUGUCGUCAGCUCGUGUCGUGAGAUGUUGGGUUAAGUCCCGCAACGAGCGCAACCCUUGUCCGUAGUUGCCAGCAUUCAGUUGGGCACUCUACGGAGACUGCCGUCGACAAGACGGAGGAAGGUGGGGAUGACGUCAAAUCAUCAUGCCCCGUUAUGUCCUGGGCUACACACGUGCUACAAUGGAUGGAACAACGGGCAGCCAACUCGCGAGAGUGCGCCAACUCCCUUAAAACCGUACUUCUACGUACGU
RNAcentral lists this ribosomal RNA (524 nucleotides) under uncultured bacterium. RNAcentral's name for it is "bacterial SSU rRNA". It matches the Rfam family "Bacterial small subunit ribosomal RNA", at positions 777 to 1300 of the family's 1533-position model. The record is from RNAcentral.